Molecule: long non-coding RNA, 1103 nt
Filed under: Zea mays
Lineage: Eukaryota; Viridiplantae; Streptophyta; Magnoliopsida; Poales; Poaceae
Description: drought responsive lncRNA
Source: RNAcentral
CGAGAUAGUCCCGCCCAACUGCAGGGAGACUUUAUUCCUCGAUGAUCCUAAUACAAACUACGGGUCUGCCUUUAUAGUAUGAGGCGACCCUUCAAAAGGAACUAAAUAACUGAAACUGGAAGUAAACUAAUGCAUAUCCUUUAUUCUGGAAACAAACUAAUGCAUAUCUCCCUGUAAUAAAAACUUGCCUACUAACCGGAUUGCUAGCCACUUUUCUGAUCACUUUCCUUGUUUGAUUCUGCUGCUGGAUCCUGGCGCCUGCGCCUCUGGUACUUGCAGCCUACAAAUGCAUCAGUAACACACAGAUUGUUCAUAGCUGAGUAGUGAGGACACGGUUAAUUUAUGCACAUCAAUCAGGGUCUUUGGUUAUCAAGGUUAAUUGAACACUAUGGUGGUUUGCAUGAUACAUGUUGUGGAAUUUGGAUCAUUGGUCCAUGUUCCAGCAUGAUUAAUAAAGCCAAAUAUAUUUUCUUUGCCUCAUUUCCUGUUUUCAUAUUUCCUUGAUAAUGCUGCGGAAACAUGGUGGCCCUAUGUGAGAUCCUUAUAGUAAGGCUGAUUCUACAUGAACUUAAAUGUCAGUAAGUCUCAGGUUCAAGUACAUGAAUGUUCAACCAUGUCAAGACGUCAUUUUCAUUGCUUAGUCUCUCACCAGUAGUGUUGCGUUUAGUAUAAGCAGUAACAGAUAUAAUUCACUGCUUCUUUGUCCAGUUUUGCAGGUCAGUUUAUUUGCGGGUUUUCAUUUCAAGACCAGUGUUUCUCAAGCUUUUAUCGGAUGAUAAAUCAUCAAAGAAUUGAGAUAAUACGGGCAGUUACUGGUGAAAGGUACAGCCAUGCCACAGGUACUGACUCAUCGUAAUUUUUAGUUUAAUCUGAAUCAGCAAUAAUCUUAAUUGUGUUAUGUGCUUUUUCUUUUUUUCUUAAUUAUGAAUUCUAUGCACGCAUCAACUCAUUAACAAAUUCAGCUGGAAUCCAAACAUCAACAGUUUUCUUUGUCAACAACCAGUUUUUUUUGCUCUGUCGACAUCGGCGUUCAUCCAAACACGCCCAUAGGGCAUGUUCGGUUUUCACCCAAAUGGCCAAAUGUAUCAUGCACUAGCCAAGCC